GCCGUAACUGGGGAAGUUUCUGGGCCCAGAAGAAAAUGUAGGUAGUCUUAGGGUUAGGUAGCAGCUGUCAGGAACUUGCCCCUGCCCAUAAGAUCCUAAAGGGCCCCCAUUUGACUCUCACCAGACAGUUAGAACUUGUUUCCUCCUCCGUGUCAGCCAUCAAGAGGUGCUUGGGGGGCUGUGCCCAGCAGGACCUCACUGCCCAGCAGAUCAGCAGGGGAGCCAAGUGGCCUAGAUCUGCUGUGGAGUACCCGACUGUUUGCCUGCCUGUCUGCCCUCCUCUUCACCUCAUUCUCAUCACUGACGUCUACCAUUGGCUUGGAAAUCAGAAACCCAUAUCCAUCUAGAUGAUUGAUUUUGAUGAUGUGGCUGCAAUAAACCCAGAACUCUUACAGCUUCUUCCCUUACAUCCGAAGGACAAUCUGCCCUUGCAGGAAAAUGUAACAAUCCAGAAACAAAAACGGAGAUCUGUCAACUCCAAAAUUCCUGCUCCAAAAGAAAGUCUUCGAAGCCGCUCCACUCGCAUGUCCACUGUCUCAGAGCUUCGCGUCACGGCUCAGGAGAAUGACAUGGAGGUGGAGCUGCCUGCAGCUGCAAACUCCCGCAAGCAGUUUUCAGUUCCUCCUGCCCCCCCUAGGCCUUCCUGCCCUGCAGUGGCUGAAAUGCCAUUGAGGAUGGUCAGCGAGGAGAUGGAAGAGCAAGUCCAUUCCAUCCGAGGCAGCUCUUCUGCAAACCCUGUGAACUCAGGUAGGCACACUGAGCUGUCUGCUGUUCUGCUUCUAGUGAGGCACAGAUAGUUAACAUCCUGUCCUAAACCUGGCCUACCUUGGCACCUGAGUU
RNAcentral lists this long non-coding RNA (840 nucleotides) under Gorilla gorilla gorilla (western lowland gorilla). Its description in RNAcentral is "lncRNA (ENSGGOG00000044443.1)". The record is from RNAcentral. Lineage: Eukaryota; Metazoa; Chordata; Mammalia; Primates; Hominidae.